Long non-coding RNA from Pocillopora damicornis (cauliflower coral), 3058 nucleotides. The record is from RefSeq and is a predicted model, not a curated record. NCBI's taxonomy places the organism in Eukaryota, Metazoa, Cnidaria, Anthozoa, Scleractinia, Pocilloporidae.
UUGAACACAAGACAAAAUACGGAGAAGACAUGCCAACCGAAGGCGAAGGAGGUUCGGCAGAAACGCCGCAAAUGCAGACCGCUCCGACCGCUCCAGUUUUAGAUUUUGCUUCGAACUUUCCAGUCCCAAGCCCAAGGAAAGUGUCAGGGAACAGAGUUACAAACUGGGAGUUCUUCAGACAACAGUGGGAGGAUUACGAGCUUGGCACCGGGCUCGAACACCGAUCAGAACCAGUCCGUUUAGCAACAAGUAUGACGCGCUCACGGACGAGAUGAAUCGGAACAGGAUCGUAAUAGGAAUCCAAGACAAAGGUACGAAGGUACGACUGCUCAAAGAAGAGAAUUUGGAUAUGGACAAGACACUCAGUAUUUGCAAAUCGAACGAAGCGGCGACUAAACAGCUCGAUUUCAUGAAACAGGAUCAAAGCCCAACAAACGAGCACGUCAACGCCGUGGGCAGUCAAGCGAAACGACCAAAUGGCAAAUGAUCGCGCGAUAGAAAGAAAGAUCCAAAGGAUACAAAGAAUACGAAGAAGAAUUGCAGCAGAUGUGGUGGACCAAAUAAGCACAAGAAAGAAGAGCGUAAAGCGUACGGUCAAACAUGUCUUGUGUGUUUGAAGCCAAAUCACUUUGCAUCUGUAUGUCGUCAGAAAAACAAGCCCACAUGAGAAAAGACAACACAUAAAGGUCGCAAGCAACCGAUAGUGAAGAUCCGCUCUUCAAGAUCGAAAAAGUCUCCAGCGUGGAAACACCAGGCAAGCAAUUUAACGCUAAGAUAAUCUUCUCAGACCUAGAAGAGUCAUACUUCACCGAGUUAUAAUGUCAGUUAGACACCGGCGCUACGUGCAAUGUGAUGGAGCUCCUACACUUGGCAGUCGUAAAACAAACGGGCGACCCCCCUCUCAGAAGUAGUUACCCUGAAGACACACCAAAAUAACACAGCCAAAGAGUUGGAUUUCCAGGUUGUCGAAACAAUAAACAAGCCUCUACUAUCUGCUGAAACCUGUGAGAAACUCGGACUGUUUAAGCUUACCAUCUCAGACACAGUACAAGUAAACAGUGUAGGUCCAGUAUCAGUAAAGAUGAGUGCUCCACUGAUCAGAGAGAAAGUCUUGACCGAAUACAAGGAUGUGUUCAAUUGCCUUGGUCAUAUAGGAGAUUCCAGUAGUUUCACUAUCGAUCCAAACUAUCCCCUAGUACAACACGUGCUGAGAUACAUACCAGUGACUCUGCAGAAAGAAGUCAAGGAGAAGAUUGCAGAGUUGGAGAGGAAAGGCAUUAUACAAAAAGUGGCUGAGUCCACUUCAUGGAUUAGCAGUAUGGUGGUACUUGAAAAGUUUCCUCCAACUUGUUCACCCUGAAAUCUAAGGAAUAUAUUGUGCUUACAGACAGUUACUCAGAUUUCAUAGAAGUUGGUGAGUUGAAGGACAUGACCACAGUGUACAUCAUAAAGUUUUUCAAAGAGCAAUUUAGCUGUUACAGCAGACCUGAUGUACUUGUCACCAACACCGCCAUUUGAGAGUAUACGUAAUUUUCCAGGGAAUGGGAGUCUAAACACAUGAUGUCAUCACCCAAGCAUGUCAAAUCCAACAGUAAGGCCAAAGCGGCAGCAGAAAUAGUAAAGAAGAUUUUCAAGAAAGCAUACAGAGACAACAAGGACCCUUGGCUGGCAUUGAUAGAUCAGCGCAACGUGCCUAAGCAAGAUUCCAGGGAUGGAUAAUCAACCCAAUCCAGCACCUAAAAUCCCACAAGAGGAUUUGGAUGAAGAGAUUGAAAAUCAACGUGGUAUUCUAAUUGAUGAAGAAAUCUUCAACUUGGAAGAAAUUAAACGGCGACUAGAAAUGAUAAAAACUCUACUGUCCUUACUGCUGCUGUGUCUUCACUUUUACAGCAAUGCUCCCUCUGAGAGAGACUAGACUCAUCAAAAUUUGACAUGGAAAGAAGGUGAUGUUACACUUAAUAUACUUUUAUGCUGAUCAAUUUGACUGUCAACUGAGCCUGGGGAGUGGGGAAUUUGAACCUUGCUUGGUUGGGGUGGGGAAUUCGAAUUGUGUCAAGUCUUUCCAAUGGAAUACAAGUCUUUUAUCUUUCAAUAUGGCGGUUUUAAAGGUAAAUAGUUCAUUAGCAAAUGGUUUGGAAGAAAGGGUUCACAAGGGCUAGGUUCAAAGCUUGGUCAGUGAGUAGAAAGUCACAGUUCUUGUUGGUUUUGCUUUUUACCAAAAUACUGACCAUCUAAUCCUGCACUCAUGCAGGGCAUUACCGAAAAACAAUCUUCAAAAGUUCAAAUGCCCAGCUAGAGGGGGGAAUUUUGAAGCUUCGAAAUGACCAAUACUUAUUUCUGGCAAACUCAGGACCAAUAAUAUUUUUAAGCCCAUACACUUCUUCCUGAGCUAAAACUUGACCCCAGAAAUGUUGGAUGGGUAGAACACACUUCAAAAAAAGUCCUUUUUCUUCUUACAUAACUCAGUUAAAAUAGAAAGGAGUCUAACAAUUGCUUUUGUCACCGAGAAAAAUUUUAUACCUGUGUAUCUAUGUUUGAGACACAAUUCCACAAGUCACCAUGCUAUAUAGAUGUUUUACUGAAUUGAUGCAAAAACUCCCUUAGAGGUCACCUUUUUUAGUAACACAGAAUUUGAAUACAGGGUUGUUCUUCAUCCAAGUUCACCUAAUGUUUUCUUUUUAUUUUAUUCAGGUUGAUAAUAAGAGCAUGGAUAGCUUUGCUGUAAAGAAAUAUUUACUAAGUCUUAUUAAUUAGUGUUAGUAUUUGCUGCCUUAAUUUUAAAAGAUAAAAUUCUUGGAAUCACAAAGGCUUUCAUUUGUAUUAUACACAAAAUAUAUGGCACUUUUAUAUGGCUCAGCUUUCAAGUUUGCCUUUUUUAAGUCUUGGAAUUGUGAAGUAUUUUUAGUAGUUUUCACUGCCAUGGUUUUAUAGAUUGUAUGUAUGGCCAGUGUAAGGCUGCGACUUGUUUGUAUUGUCACCAAACUAUGGUUUGGCUUUGAAGUAAUCCUUUGUUGGUGUCAUGAACUUUAAGUCAUGAUUAAAAUGCAUUUUAGUGGUU